RNAcentral lists this long non-coding RNA (619 nucleotides) under Anas platyrhynchos platyrhynchos (common mallard). Its description in RNAcentral is "lncRNA (ENSAPLG00000017733.1)". The record is from RNAcentral. Lineage: Eukaryota; Metazoa; Chordata; Aves; Anseriformes; Anatidae.
GAGGCCUCGUAAGAGGAGUUGAUUUUGAUAGUUCAUCAAAAUGAAAUCAGUGUUGAAGCAAUGACCCAGUGACCUUGCAAGUGGGGUUUACAGUAGGAAAGAUGUGAACUGAAUUUGCCUCUGCUCUGCUUUUAGAGGCACAAGGGUAUGCUUUCACAUGAGUAGACAUGCUAUCUAUGCCACGCAAGCUAUGUUAGUUUGAAUUGACUCAGACUACAUGAAUCCAAACUAGUGUGCUGCAUUCAACGCCUCUGAGAUUUAUUUGGAGUAAAAGAUCUGCGUCAGUCUAUGCACCAGAGCUCUUUUUCUUUCUCUUCCUUCACUCGUCAUGCACAUUUCAAGCUCUAUGGAAAAAUCUUAUGACAAAGCCUUCACAUAUGAAACUAUGAAGAUGAGGAUUGCCUGUUAAAUCUGUCUCAGUUUGGUAGUUUCCAAAAAGAUAAGAAAGGAAGAGUGAGCAGGAAGAAAAGCAGUAAUAGGGAACUCAAAAGACUGAAGAAAGCAAAUGGAAGAAUAUGAGGACACUUUCAGCUCAGCCAACUACAUCCAGUAUGUCCUGUGGCCAGGAAGAAAAGGAAAUUUCUUAAACUAUAUGAAGAAGUACCAUCUCUAAAGAAGU